This is a long non-coding RNA of Homo sapiens (human), 3327 nucleotides long. Ensembl annotates it as AFG3 like matrix AAA peptidase subunit 1, pseudogene. Its record names the gene AFG3L1P. The record is from Ensembl. Lineage: Eukaryota; Metazoa; Chordata; Mammalia; Primates; Hominidae.
AUUUAACUUGAAAAAAUUUUAAAAAAUUUUAUAGAGGUGGGGUCUUGCUAUGUAGCCCAGGCUGGUCUCAAUCUCCUGAGUUCAAGUGAUUCUCCUACCUUGGCCUCCAAAGUUCUAGGAUUCCAGGUGUGGUCACUGUGUCCUGCCACCAGAGCCUCCUGAGGGCUGUCCUGGUGUGAUUAGAGGGCUCUGAGCAGGGCCAGCUGUGCCAUCUGUGCUUUUCCUUUGUCCUGUUACCUACCCUUGCACUGGGCCGUUAGGGCACUGAGAUCAUCCCUCUCCAUCCUGUCAUGCUGUGCUGUCAUCUUUAGUCAAGCCAGAGGAUAUGGUGCUUCGCUGUGUUUCACACACAGCUGUUCCCAUUGGCUUCAAAUGGGCCUGUUUAGUUAAGGCUUUGUGUGAAGUAUGUGGGAAGUGGGUUUCACUUUCAAGAAGGCAGCAUGGAGCUGGGGCUUGGCCUCUGCUGUCUGGUAUAGAGGAGCCUGGGGAUCAGGUGUAGCUGCAGACACAGCUGGGCGCAGAGGGAGUGGCCUCAUUUCCCAGCCACCUACUCCUGCCGUGCCUCACUCGCCGGGGAAUGUGAUGUGUAGGUCUUGAGAAGAAGGCCCAGGUCCUGCAGCCCGGUGAAAAGACAACUGUGGCCUACCACGAGGCCGGACACGUGGUGGUAGGCUGGUUCUUGGAGCACGUGGACCCCCUGCUGAAGGUUGGUCCUCCCACCCUGAGUGAGUCCACCUGGCAGGCUUGGGCCUGGUAUCUCUGGGCCAACCUGUGGUCAUGUGGGCAUGGUACAUUCAAGGAUUGGCCCUUUAGCUUUUUAAGGAAUAAACUGCUCUAGAAUUUGUCAAAAGAUCCCUUCGGGGUGGGAAAGCAGGGCAGUGGGUUCCAAAUGGGGCCUUGGCCAUGCGACUCCAGGGAGCAGCCUCAGUGUUAAACCCGCCUGACUCCUGAGCUCUGGAUUCGACCGUUGGCCUCUCCAGAGACUCUGCAGGGUGGGCAGAGCGUAGGUGGUUUCCACGUGAAGCUCCCAAAGGCGGGUGCACUUCUUGGGGCAUCCCCAUGGUGUAUGGGGGGCCUGGGUCAGGCUGUCUUCUCUCCUGUUCCAGUAGAAGGACCUGUGGUCAGAGCUAGGGUCAGGUGGCCUGGCCGCUCCAGGGUGGCUCCUGGAGGAAGUGGGGACAGUGUUUGGGGUGAUGAGGGCAUGUGUCCUGUCCUCAGGUGUCCAUCAUACCCCAGGGCAAGGGGCUCCGCUACGCACAGUACCUGCCCCGGGAGCAGCAGCUCUACACCCAGGAGCAGCUCUUCGACCGCACGUGCAUGAUGCUCGGGGGCCGGGUAGCCGAGCAGCUGUGCUCCGGGUAGAUCACUAUGGGGGCUCAGGACGACCUGAGGAAGGUCACCCAGAGUGCCUACGCCCAGGUUGUGCAGUUUGGGGUGAGUGAGAAGCUGGGCCAGGUGUCCUUCGACUUUUCCCGACACGGCAAGACCCUGGUGGAGAAGCUGUACGGCGAGGCAAGCGCCCAGCUCCUUGAUGACGAGGUCCGGCACCUCGUCAGUGCCACCUACAGGUGCACCCUGGACCUGCUGACACGGUGCCGGGAGCAUGUGGAGAAGGUGGGCCAGCGGCUCCUGGAGAAGGAAGUACUGGAGAAGGCAGACAUGGUGGAGCUGCUGGGCCCCCGGCCCUUCUCGGAGAAGUCUACCUAUGAGGAGUUUGUAGAGGGCGUGGGCAGCCUGGAGGAGGACACAUCCCUUCCCGAGGGGCUGAAGGGUUGGAACCGCGGACAGGAGGAGGAAGAUGUGGAGAGCAGCCUGUGCAGGGGGCUCUGUGUAGCCUGUGGCGGUCGCCUGCACCUGCUGCUGGGUGGAGUUGGGGUGACUGCCACUUACCUGGGGCCUUGGCAAAGCAGCUGCGGAAUCUCACCCAAAACAAAUUAAAACGUGACAACUGUGAAUGGGUGUUUUAGAUGAGGGUGCUCUGAGCCCACAUGCAGGGAGUAGGAGUGGGAGUGGGCAGAGGGGGUACCCUGAGUCCCUGGGCCCUCCCGCUGGAGGACAGUCGGGUCCAGGCUUAGACGGGAGAGGCCCCAGGGCUCUGGCCCCUGUGGUGCUGAGGAAGGCACGACUGUAGCUUCGAGAGGGGCUUGCGUGGGACACCUUGGAGACACCAGGCCUUCCUGGGGCCUCCGUGGAGGAGCGUUGAUAUGGUCAUAAAGACACUCGGAGGAGCCUGGGUCCAGCACAGAAACCCUCACCGUUUGGUAGAAUUCAGAAGAGGAGAACGUCAGCCAGGCAUCAAGGGGAAGUCAGGGUUCUAAAGCAGCUGUUUGGAUCGGUAGAAGCCGAUCUGCUGUUCUGUCCUUAGAAAGGAAAAAGCCCACACCACCCACAGGUGCAUGGCUGAGGGAGGAGGUGGAGCUGUGGGGCCUCACACCUGGGUUCCCCAUCAGGGCACCCCCCGCCACCCCUGCCUGCGCCUUGGCUCUGUGGCAGCACUGCUGAGUGUGAGGGAAUUGAGUUGCUUAGAAAACCUGGCCCCUGUCCUUGGCUGGAGGUGCUUUCACUGCGGGAUGUGUCUGGAUCGUCAGUUCUGUUCCUGUGACCCCUUUUUGUUGGAGUCUUGGAGCGGGAAGCUCUGCAGGGCCCCAGCCGGCUCAGGGGUGUUUGUGGAGAGACUGUGGUCCUGAAGCCCCAGCACGUGGCUGCCCCUGGCCCUGGUACCUGUUCGUGAACACUUUUCCUGGGGUUGGGUAGCUCCUAAUUUUUAUUAGGAAGGCCCCUUCUGGGCUCUGAGCUUCAGGCCCUUUGGCGCCUUGUACUGAGGGAGGGUUUGCUUUUUCUUGUCUGGGGUGUGUGGGACUCGAUGAGGAUGCCCCGUGUGCUUUCUGCAGCACACGACCUGCCUCCAGGACUCGCUGGGGUCAGCAACAGCAGGGCAGUGUCAGCCUCAACCACUGCCUUGGGGUGGGUGGAUGCGUGUCUAGGUCACCUGGGAUGAGACCUGGGGAAGACGCCCAUUUGCAUAUGUCCUGGGUGAGCGGCCGGAGGAGGAGGCCCUGCUUGUGGGUCAGCUGGGAUGGGACCUGGGAAGAUGCCCGUUUGCAGAUGUCCUGGGUGAACAGCGGGAGGAGGAGGCCCUGCUUGCUGCCCCGGGCACUGUUUGUUCUCAGCCUCUCUCUCGACCUAGGCCAGAUCAGACACUGGGGCUUUGUAGUAUAUUUUAUAAAUCGCUUGUUAUGUUGGCCUCGGAGCCUCAAAAAUAUAAUUUCCAACUGGGGGUGAACACUUUCAACUUUUGCUGUUUAUAAAAUGCAUAUCAUUGGACUC